RNAcentral lists this unclassified non-coding RNA (308 nucleotides) under plant metagenome. RNAcentral describes it as "partial contains 5.8S ribosomal RNA, internal transcribed spacer 2, and large subunit ribosomal RNA". The stretch from base 1 to 105 matches the Rfam family "5.8S ribosomal RNA", at positions 50 to 154 of the family's 154-position model. The record is from RNAcentral.
GAAAUGCGAUAAGUAGUGUGAAUUGCAGAAUUCAGUGAAUCAUCGAAUCUUUGAACGCACAUUGCGCCCUUUGGUAUUCCAAAGGGCAUGCCUGUUCGAGCGUCAUUUGUACCCUCAAGCUUUGCUUGGUGUUGGGCGUCUUGUCUCUAGCUUUGCUGGAGACUCGCCUUAAAGUAAUUGGCAGCCGGCCUACUGGUUUCGGAGCGCAGCACAAGUCGCACUCUCUAUCAGCAAAGGUCUAGCAUCCAUUAAGCCUUUUUUUCAACCUUUGACCUCGGAUCAGGUAGGGAUACCCGCUGAACUUAAGC